Lycium ferocissimum is the source of this 1709-nucleotide long non-coding RNA. RefSeq lists it as uncharacterized. NCBI's taxonomy places the organism in Eukaryota, Viridiplantae, Streptophyta, Magnoliopsida, Solanales, Solanaceae. The transcript has 2 exons. The record is from RefSeq and is a predicted model, not a curated record.
CUUUCUUGAAUUAUUUAGGUUUGUCUAUUGUUGGUUAUACUGUUGUUGUUCUUGGUGUACUUUCCCUUUGUCCCUUUUGGUUAAUUACAUUGUUUUCAGUUCCAAAGAUUGAUCCUAGUAGAUGGUUGAUUUUAGGCCAAAAGGGUGUUAAAAUAGAUUGGAACUUGUUUUUUAAUACCCUUUUUUGGAAUUUGAAUUUUUGGGAUAAUGCUAGUACUUUAGCUGGUGAAGUUGAACAACCUCAAAAGACAUUUCCUAAAGCACUUUUUUCAGCUGGGAUUGUUACAUGUUUUAGUUAUGUUUUGCCACUUUUGGGUACUACUGGUGUUGUUCCAUUGGAGCAAAGUAAAUGGACUGCUGGGACUCACACAGCUGAUUUCUUUUAGGAUAUUACUUUUGUCUUUUGUGACUGAAUUAUUAGGAAACGCUGUUUUUUUAGUAGUGUCAUGGCUGCCUUGAAGAACUUGAUGGAGUAGUUUUUGAAAAUAUUUUACUAUUGGUGGUGUCAUGUCCACCAGCUUCUUGCUUUCUUGAAUUCAUGAUCAACUUGAUUUCGUCAUCAUUGAUCUAUAGAAAUUCAACAAAAAGUUAACAAGAAGAUAAAUGAUAUCUGUUAGAGAGGGUAGUAUAACAAAAAUUUAAACAAGAUUACACUACACAAAUGAAUAUAUUUUGGAAAAUUAAUGAAGUAGUUAGUUUGCUGGUUAAUCUUAAGUAUGAUGAUAUAUUAGUCUCAAAUGAAGUCUUAUAUUAGCUUCUAUUAAUUCUUUGUACAUUCCUCGUCCUUGACAAGUUACUUAUUUUAAGCUAAGUUAUGAAUAAACAGGUCAUUUCAAUGAUUAAAGGAUAUCAACAGGGACUAGUAUUUUCUUAUAUGUUAUUUUCAAUCUCAUUUUUACACAAAAAUACAAAAAACUUCUGUUGCUAAUUUUCUAAAAUGAGUAACUUUUGCAUAGGUUGUUGAAAAGGGUCGAGAUCCAACACCAGGUGAGGUACAUUUGCACGUCCAUACACAUGAUCAUGAUGGAGAAUCUUUUGUUGAUGAGCGUGCCCGAGCUGUCCAUGAAAGAUAUCAAGAAAUAUUACGGGAAAAAUCACAGUCUCAGACUGAUAUUGAUCAAUGUGAAGCAUAUUACGAAGCUGCUGGGGGGACAAGGAAAAGAAGAAUAUAUGGUCUUGGAUCUCAAGCACAAAGUUAUUAUGGGCCGAAUCUUAGCGUCAAUUCUGGGUUUAAUGCUUGGCAAAGAUGCCACCUUCAAUGUCUCAAUCGGACCGAAGAAAAAAUAUGGAGGAGUUAGUGAUGCGAUUGAUUCCUACAACGGAUCGAACGCUUGCUUCCUUUAUUUAUUGAGAAGGCACGCGGAGUGAUUUCUUCACCAUCACAUCAUCCAAAUACUCCUAUUGAAAAUCCAUCAGUUGUGACACCCAUAGUGCCUCCUACUACUGCUGCUAACGUUGACGAUGUUGAUCCUUUAGUUUCUGAUGAUGAUCGUAGUCCUUCACCCAUGCAUUAGUUUUUUAUGUUAUCUAUUUUUUUGUUGGAAAGAACAAAAUUAUGCACUAACAAUACUUGACGGAUGUGGGUUCUUUUGGUAGUUGAUAGCUUGGCCUUGUCGGUGUUUUGGACUUAACGAUGAGGAUUUCGAUAUCUAUUUUGAAUCUUUUUUGUAAAUGUUAUUUUAUGUGAAUGUUAGUUAUUUUUAAGGGUA